UAUUAUUUUAGAUGUAAAAUAUUUAAACUUGAGUAGUAGUAGAAUAAGGUCUUGAAACUUAAAGAAUUUGGCGGUAUUUUAGUCUAUUUAGAGGAAUCUGUCCCAUAAUCGAUAAUCCGCGUUGGACCUUACUUAAAUUAUAUAAAUAUGUAUACCGCUGUUGUUGAAAAUCUUUUUAGAGUUAAUUUUUUUAAAAUUUGUUAAAUAAUUUUUCAGGUCAAGGUGCAGUUUAUAUUUAAGAGGAGAUGGAUUACAAUAUUUAUUUAAUAUACGAAUUGCUAUUUGAAAUUUGAUUAGCAUGAAGGUGGAUUUAAUAGUAAUAUUAUGAAGAUUGUUAAUAUGAUUGUAGCUCUAAAAUAUGUACACAUCGCCCGUCGCUCUCGUUAUAUUUAAGGUGAG
Molecule: ribosomal RNA, 399 nt
Filed under: Episymploce tridens
Lineage: Eukaryota; Metazoa; Arthropoda; Insecta; Blattodea; Blattellidae
Description: partial small subunit ribosomal RNA
Source: RNAcentral